UAAGGAAUAUUGGUCAAUGGACGCAAGUCUGAACCAGCCAUGCCGCGUGAAGGAUGAAGGUCCUCUGGAUUGUAAACUUCUUUUAUCUGGGACGAAAACGGGAUUUUUAUCUCAAUUGACAGUACCAGAGGAAUAAGCACCGGCUAACUCCGUGCCAGCAGCCGCGGUAAUACGGAGGGUGCGAGCGUUAUCCGGAUUUACUGGGUUUAAAGGGUGCGUAGGUGGGCUUAUAAGUCAGUGGUGAAAUCUCCGAGCUUAACUUGGAAACUGCCGUUGAUACUAUAGGUCUUGAAUUAUCUGGAGGUAAGCGGAAUAUGUCAUGUAGCGGUGAAAUGCUUAGAUAUGACAUAGAACACCAAUUGCGAAGGCAGCUUACUACAUAUAAAUUGACGCUGAGGCACGAAAGCGUGGGGAUCAAACA
This 421-nucleotide ribosomal RNA is filed under the name uncultured bacterium. Its description in RNAcentral is "bacterial SSU rRNA". It matches the Rfam family "Bacterial small subunit ribosomal RNA", at positions 355 to 774 of the family's 1533-position model. The record is from RNAcentral.